RNAcentral lists this ribosomal RNA (347 nucleotides) under Ganeo gazipurensis. Its description in RNAcentral is "eukaryotic LSU rRNA". It matches the Rfam family "Eukaryotic large subunit ribosomal RNA", at positions 55 to 375 of the family's 3401-position model. The record is from RNAcentral. Lineage: Eukaryota; Metazoa; Platyhelminthes; Trematoda; Plagiorchiida; Lecithodendriidae.
GUAGCAGAACUAACAGGAUUCGCCUAGUAACUGCGAGUGAACAGGGAUUAGCCCAGCACCGAAGCCUGUGGCCAUUUGGUCACUAGGCAAUGUGGUGUUCAGGUCGUUCCGCAAAGGUACUGCUCCACCCUAAGUCCAUCAAUGAGUACGGUAGUACGGACAUGGCCCACAGAGGGUGACAGGCCCGUGUGGGUGGAGAUCAGGUAGGCCAGUGCCUUUCUGGAUAGACCUUGGAGUCGGGUUGUUUGGGAAUGCAGCCCAAAGUGGGUGGUAAACUCCAUCCAAGGCUAAAUACAAGCACGAGUCCGAUAGCGAACAAGUACCGUGAGGGAAAGUUGAAAAGAUCC